CCAAAUCUUCACAGGCUGCUGCUUGCUGUUCUCUUUAAUUAUUUUAAUUAAACGUUGAUAUUCUGCAGCUGAGGGAAGCUAUAGGGUUGAGACUGGAGGGAAGCAGGGAGGUCCUUGGAGGAUUGGAGACAGAAGGGUAGAAGCAGGGAGGUCCGUGGAGGAUUGGAGACAGAAGGGUAGAAGCAGGGAGGUCAGUGGAGGAUUGGAGACAGAAGGGUAGAAGCAGGGAGGUCCUUGGAGGAUUGGAGACAGAAGGGUAGAAGCAGGGAGGUCCUUGGAGGAUUGGAGACAGAAGGGUAGAAGCAGGGAGGUCAGUGGAGGAUUGGAGACAGAAGGGUAGAAGCAGGGAGGUCCUUGGAGGAUUGGAGACAGAAGGGUAGAAGCAGGGAGGUCAGUGGAGGAUUGGAGACAGAAGGGUAGAAGCAGGGAUACCCUUGGAGGAUUGGAGACAGAAGGGUAGAAGCAGGGAGGUCCUUGGAGGAUUGGAGACAGAAGGGUAGAAGCAGGGAGGUCCUUGGAGGAUUGGAGACAGAAGGGUAGAAGCAGGGAGGUCAGUGGAGGAUUGGAGACAGAAGGGUAGAAGCAGGGAGGUCCUUGGAGGAUUGGAGACAGAAGGGUAGAAGCAGGGAGGUCCUUGGAGGAUUGGAGACAGAAGGGUAGAAGCAGGGAGGUCAGUGGAGGAUUGGAGACAGAAGGGUAGAAGCAGGGAGGUCAGUGGAGGAUUGGAGACAGAAGGGUAGAAGCAGGGAGGUCCUUGGAGGAUUGGAGACAGAAGGGUAGAAGCAGGGAGGUCCUUGGAGGAUUGGAGACAGAAGGGUAGAAGCAGGGAGGUCAGUGGAGGAUUGGAGACAGAAGGGUAGAAGCAGGGAGGUCCUUGGAGGAUUGGAGACAGAAGGGUAGAAGCAGGGAGGUCCUUGGAGGAUUGGAGACAGAAGGGUAGAAGCAGGGAGGUCAGUGGAGGAUUGGAGACAGAAGGGUAGAAGCAGGGAGGUCCUUGGAGGAUUGGAGACAGAAGGGUAGAAGCAGGGAGGUCCUUGGAGGAUUGGAGACAGAAGGGUAGAAGCAGGGAGGUCAGUGGAGGAUUGGAGACAGAAGGGUAGAAGCAGGGAGACCCUUGGAGGAUUGGAGACAGAAGGGUAGAAGCAGGGAGGUCCUUGGAGGAUUGGAGACAGAGGGGAAGGGUAGCAGUGACAUUGGAGACAGAGGGGUAAGGGUAGCAGUGACAUUGGAGACAGAGGGUAAGGGUAGCAGUGACAUUGGAGACAGAGGGGUAAGGGUAGCAGUGACAUUGGAGACAGAGGGUAAGGGUAGCAGUGACAUUAGAGACAGAGGGUAAGGGUAGCAGUGACAUUAGAGACAGAGGGUAAGGGGAGCAGUGACAUUGGAGACAGAGGGUAAGGGGAGCAGUGACAUUGGAGACAGAGGGGUAAGGGUAGCAGUGACAUUGGAGACAGAGGGUAAGGGUAGCAGUGACAUUGGAGACAGAGGGUAAGGGGAGCAGUGACAUUGGAGACAGAGGGGUAAGGGUAGCAGUGACAUUGGAGACAGAGGGGUAAGGGUAGCAGUGACAUUGGAGACAGAGGGGAAGGGUAGCAGUGACAUUGGAGACAGAGGGGUAAGGGUAGCAGUGACAUUGGAGACAGAGGGGUAAGGGGAGCAGUGACACUGG
Long non-coding RNA from Oncorhynchus keta (chum salmon), 1669 nucleotides. RefSeq lists it as uncharacterized. Lineage: Eukaryota; Metazoa; Chordata; Actinopteri; Salmoniformes; Salmonidae. The transcript has 7 exons. The record is from RefSeq and is a predicted model, not a curated record.